UCGAGGAUCUUCGGCAAUGGGCGAAAGCCUGACCGAGCGACGCCGCGUGUGCGAUGAAGGCCUUCGGGUUGUAAAGCACUGUCGAGGGAAAGAAAAGCCGCAAGGUUUGAUCGAUCUCUGGAGGAAGCUCGGGCUAAGUUCGUGCCAGCAGCCGCGGUAAGACGAACCGAGCGAACGUUAUUCGGAAUCACUGGGCUUAAAGGGUGCGUAGGCGGGCUCGUGAGUCAGGGGUGAAAUCCCACGGCCCAACCGUGGAAGUGCCUCUGAUACCGCGAGUCUCGAGGGGGAUAGGGGCAUGCGGAACUUCCGGUGGAGCGGUGAAAUGCGUAGAUAUCGGAAGGAACACCGGUGGCGAAAGCGGCGUGCUGGAUCCCUACUGACGCUGAGGCACGAAAGCCAGGGGAGCAAACGGGAUUAGAUACCCCGGUAGUCCUGGCCCUAAACGAUGGGUACUAGGUAGUGGACUGACAUGGGUUCACUGCCGAAGCAAGAGUGAUAAGUACCCCGCCUGGGGAGUAUGGUCGCAAGGCUGAAACUCAAAGGAAUUGACGGACUUUCUAGAAGUCUCCUACAUUCCGG
This 579-nucleotide ribosomal RNA is filed under the name uncultured bacterium. RNAcentral's name for it is "bacterial SSU rRNA". It matches the Rfam family "Bacterial small subunit ribosomal RNA", at positions 355 to 1393 of the family's 1533-position model. The record is from RNAcentral.